AGAGAUCUGAGAUGUUCGUGGCGUCCUAUCAGUGUUGACCGAACAAUUAUUUUUACUCUAGGGAUUCUAUGUGUGAGAUAGAAUAACAUGCCACAUCACAUGGAAGUUAGCCGAUCUGUCCAAGAAGCCCACCUGCUAAUUUGCGGGUUCAAACUCAAAGGAUGCAUGACACGGCAUCAUCGGAAAUCUA
This 190-nucleotide non-coding RNA is filed under the name Atopobacter sp. AH10. RNAcentral's name for it is "6S / SsrS RNA". It matches the Rfam family "6S / SsrS RNA". Rfam says of the family: E. coli 6S RNA was the first non coding RNA to be sequenced, but its function was unknown until recently. It consists of 184 nucleotides that fold into an extended hairpin structure with a large single-stranded internal bulge. The 6S RNA specifically associates with RNA polymerase holoenzyme containing the sigma70 specificity factor. Lineage: Bacteria; Bacillati; Bacillota; Bacilli; Lactobacillales; Carnobacteriaceae. The record is from Rfam by way of RNAcentral.